UGACGGUAACUUACCAGAAAGGGACGGCUAACUACGUGCCAGCAGCCGCGGUAAUACGUAGGUCCCGGGCGUUGUCCGGAUUUAUUGGGCGUAAAGCGAGCGCAGGCGGUUUAAUAAGUCUGAAGUUAAAGGCAGUGGCUUAACCAUUGUUCGCUUUGGAAACUGUUAGACUUGAGUGCAGAAGGGGAGAGUGGAAUUCCAUGUGUAGCGGUGAAAUGCGUAGAUAUAUGGAGGAACACCGGUGGCGAAAGCGGCUCUCUGGUCUGUAACUGACGCUGAGGCUCGAAAGCGUGGGGAGCAAACAGGAUUAGAUACCCUG
Molecule: ribosomal RNA, 319 nt
Filed under: uncultured bacterium
Lineage: Bacteria
Description: bacterial SSU rRNA
Rfam family: Bacterial small subunit ribosomal RNA
Source: RNAcentral